This 243-nucleotide ribosomal RNA is filed under the name uncultured bacterium. Its description in RNAcentral is "partial 16S ribosomal RNA". It matches the Rfam family "Bacterial small subunit ribosomal RNA", at positions 532 to 774 of the family's 1533-position model. The record is from RNAcentral.
GGGCAAGCGUUAUCCGGAUUUACUGGGUGUAAAGGGAGCGUAGGCGGCGAUGCAAGUCAGAAGUGAAAGCCCGGGGCUCAACUCCGGGACUGCUUUUGAAACUGUAUGGCUAGAUUGCAGGAGAGGCAAGUGGAAUUCCUAGUGUAGCGGUGAAAUGCGUAGAUAUUAGGAGGAACACCAGUGGCGAAGGCGGCUUGCUGGACUGUAAAUGACGCUGAGGCUCGAAAGCGUGAGGAGCGAACA